Molecule: ribosomal RNA, 253 nt
Filed under: uncultured bacterium
Lineage: Bacteria
Description: partial 16S ribosomal RNA
Rfam family: Bacterial small subunit ribosomal RNA
Source: RNAcentral
UACGUAGGGGGCAAGCGUUGUCCGGAAUUAUUGGGCGUAAAGAGCGUGUAGGCGGUCCGGUAAGUCCGCUGUGAAAGUCAAGGGCUCAACCCUUGAAAGCCGGUUGAUACUGUCGGGCUAGAGUCCGGAAGAGGCGAGUGGAAUUCCCGGUGUAGCGGUGAAAUGCGCAGAUAUCGGGAGGAACACCAAUGGCGAAGGCAGCUGGCUGGGACGGUACUGACGCUGAGACGCGAAAGCGUGGGGAGCAAACAGG